Molecule: ribosomal RNA, 309 nt
Filed under: uncultured bacterium
Lineage: Bacteria
Description: partial 16S ribosomal RNA
Rfam family: Bacterial small subunit ribosomal RNA
Source: RNAcentral
AGAGACAGCAGUCGCCGCGGUAAUACAGAGGAUGCAAGCGUUAUCCGGAAUGAAUGGGCGUAAAGCGUCUGUAGGUGGCUUUUCAAGUCCGCCGUCAAAUCCCAGGGCUCAACCCUGGACAGGCGGUGGAAACUACCAAGCUGGAGUACGGUAGGGGCAGAGGGAAUUUCCAGUGGAGCGGUGAAAUGCGUUGAGAUCGAAAAGAACACCAACAGCGAAAGCACUCUGCUGGGACGACACCGACACUAAGAGACGAAAGCUAGGGGAGCAAAUGGGAUUAGAUACCCGCGUAGUCCCUGUCUCUUAUAC